UCGGGUAUGGUGUAACGGCUAACAUUGCCGCCUCUCAUUUCCAUAGCAUCGACUCGACUGGAUCGCGGCAGCUCGGGGUUCGAUUCCCCGUACCCGAA
Crucibulum laeve is the source of this 98-nucleotide non-coding RNA. NCBI's taxonomy places the organism in Eukaryota, Fungi, Basidiomycota, Agaricomycetes, Agaricales, Nidulariaceae. The record is from the annotation of a GenBank genome assembly.